RNAcentral lists this microRNA (17 nucleotides) under Corchorus olitorius. RNAcentral's name for it is "hsa-miR-44". Lineage: Eukaryota; Viridiplantae; Streptophyta; Magnoliopsida; Malvales; Malvaceae. The record is from RNAcentral.
AGGGUUUGUUUGUUUUU